CUUUGUUGAUAUAUCCAAAUUAUUUUAUUACCCCCACUGACGCAGCCCCAAACAGUUUCUUUAGAAACUAUCAGCAUUUAUACAAGGAAUAGUAUUUGUUAAGUGGAUCAAUGUAAGUUUCUAAGCAAAUGCACACCCACCCCUCCCCUAACAGUACAUUAACAUUAACUUGUUUUUAUUAAACUAUUCGGUUAAGGAAGGGGUGGGGGUGCACAGUUGCUCAGAUACAGAAAUUCAACUGUAAAAAUUAACCUACAUCAGACUGCAAGAUGACAAUGCAUUACCAUCAUUGCAACUGUUGUCACCCUGAUCAUCAACAACAUAUUGCCAUCACCAGCAUUACUGCCAUAACCAUCACUUCCAUGCUGUGGCCAUUUGGCAUUAAAUAAGAAUGGAUCCUACUUUACUUUGUCUCAGAUACUAUGUUUUCAGACCAGCAAACAUGCUUAUGGCUGAGGACCUUGAAGAAAAGAUGCAUCCAGCAACAAACUCAAUUAUUGUCCAUCAAAUACAAUUUUUAUGGAUGCCUCUUUUGGAAUAUUGAACUUAUGUAGUCUAGUGUGAAAUUGCUAUCACUAUAAUUUAAGUUGGAACUAAAUACAUUCUUACAUUCUACUCAGAUCUUUCUGCUAUAAACACUAGAAAUAACCAAAGAUUAAGAAGCUACACUGUUUGGACAUUGAAGCGAUUCAUUUUCAUGUAUCAGUCAGUGAAAGAUAGUACCAUUACAAAUAAUUAAGUGAUAGCAAGAUCUGUUAAAGUAUUUACCAUUUUGAGUUGCUUUUUGCAAGAGUUCCCUACAGACCUAGUGAAAUAAUUCCCUUCAGCAUUACACAAUCCUGACAGAUUACAGUAAUUCAUAUACUCGUUAAAACUAGUUAACAAAAAGAACAGCAAUUGUUCUCCAUUUGCAUUCCAAAUAAUCUACUGUGAUCAUGUACCUAAGUUUGUGCCAUGUUUCUAGCAACAAAUUCUCCAAAUAAUAUACUAUAAUCAUGUAUCUAUAUAUACAAUGAAGGUAUGUUAAUUACAAAUGUUGAGAAAAAUAAUUAAAGGUAUGUUAUUCA
Molecule: long non-coding RNA, 1067 nt
Organism: Stylophora pistillata
Lineage: Eukaryota; Metazoa; Cnidaria; Anthozoa; Scleractinia; Pocilloporidae
Source: RefSeq, a predicted model, not a curated record